GCCUUUGCUUACCUUAACGUUUAAUCUUAUGAUUUCCCCCUCCCCCCGCCCUCUUUGAAAUGGAUUGGGGGACAGAGAUUAUCAUCCUUAUUUGAUAUACGGGGAAACUGAGGCCCAGAGAGGGUCAGUGUCUUUUCCAAAGUGAAACAGUGCCUCAGUAAAGGAGUCAGAAGUAGAACUGAUGAAUGUAUUUUUAGCACGCGGCCCCCUCGGAAAGGGGAGAGCACUCCCUCCUGUUCCCUCGAGAGAAGCGGCGUGACUUAGUGGCUAGAGCCCGGGCCUGGGAGUCAGAAGGACCUGGGUUCUAAUCCCAGCUCCGCCACUUGUCCGCUGUGUGACCUUGGGCAAGUCAGUUCACUUCUCCGUGCCUCAGUUACCUCAUCUGAAAAAUGGGGAUUAAGAUCGAGAGCCGCACGAGGGAUGUGGACUGUGUCCAACCCAAUUAGCUUGUAUCUACCCCGGCACUUAGAACGGUGCGUGGCGCAGGGUAGGUGCUACCCAAAUACCAUUUUGAUCAUUCUUAUGGAUCCCCAGAGCAGCUAUCCAGGCUUCUCUCAUUCUGGCAUCAAGGUGGAAAAUCCGACCGAGCGUGCCUAGAGGAGAGCCGAGGCCCAGAGGACGUGGCUAAUGAUGAGACUUCGGCUGAUGGAUCCCCUCGGUCGGUUCUUUCCUUCUGGGCUCCUCCAGCAGCUCUGAGGCCCGAGGAGGAGUGUUCAUUCAGACUUUCUGAAAAGAGCUGGAGAGACAGAGAGGGAGAAUCAAGGAAAGAAGAGGUUCCUGAAUCCGGCUGGGAGAUUAGUUCCACGGCUCUCAGCAACAUGGAUCUCCACGCUCAUCGAGGUUUUUCCGACGUGCCCUGAUGCCAGAGUGACGGCCGGCCCGCUCUCUCUCCGUGCCCACCGCAAGCGUCCACCCGACCGCCCUCCCCGCCGCCCCUCCAGACCCCCUAAG
RNAcentral lists this long non-coding RNA (951 nucleotides) under Ornithorhynchus anatinus (platypus). RNAcentral's name for it is "lncRNA (ENSOANG00000050755.1)". Lineage: Eukaryota; Metazoa; Chordata; Mammalia; Monotremata; Ornithorhynchidae. The record is from RNAcentral.